AUAUCAAUAAGCGGAGGAAAAGAAACCAACAGGGAUUGCCUUAGUAACGGCGAGUGAAGCGGCAAAAGCUCAAAUUUGAAAUCUGGCAGUAAUGUCCGAGUUGUAAUUUGAAGAAGGUAACUUUGGUGAUAGCUCUUGCAUAUGUUCCUUGGAACAGGACGUCAUAGAGGGUGAGAAUCCCGUAUAUGGUGAGAUGACAUAUUACUAUGUAAAGUGCCUUCGAAGAGUCGAGUUGUUUGGGAAUGCAGCUCUAAGUGGGUGGUAAAUUCCAUCUAAAGCUAAAUAUUGGCGAGAGACCGAUAGCGAACAAGUACAGUGAUGGAAAGAUGAAAAGAACUUUGAAAAGAGAGUGAAAAAGUAC
RNAcentral lists this ribosomal RNA (361 nucleotides) under uncultured fungus. RNAcentral describes it as "eukaryotic LSU rRNA". It matches the Rfam family "Eukaryotic large subunit ribosomal RNA", at positions 40 to 398 of the family's 3401-position model. Lineage: Eukaryota; Fungi. The record is from RNAcentral.